AAGGUUCGAUUCCGGAGAGGGAGCCUGAGAGACGGCUACCACAUCUAAGGAAGGCAGCAGGCGCGCAAAUUACCCACUCCCGGCACGGGGAGGUAGUGACGAAAAAUACUGUUGCGAGACUCGAACGAGGCUUCGCAAUUGGAAUGAGUACACUUUAAAUCCUUGCACGAGGAUCGAGUGGAGGGCAAGUCUGGUGCCAGCCGCCGCGGUAAUUCCAGCUCCACUAGCGUAUAUUAACGCUGUUGCGGUUAAAACGCUCGUAGUUUGCCCUCUGCUCCGGACCGGCGGUUCGCCUUAGCGGCGUUUACUGGCCGGCUCCGAGCUAUGUCCCUGCCGGCGCGCCGGGGGUGCUCUUAAACGAGUGUCCCUCGCGGCCGGCGAGUUCACUUUGAAAAAAUUAGAGUGCUCAGAGCAGGCCACAGCUAAAUGGGCCUGAAUGGUGGUGCAUGGAAUGAUGGAACAGGACCUC
This 469-nucleotide ribosomal RNA is filed under the name Solenocera crassicornis. RNAcentral's name for it is "bacterial SSU rRNA". It matches the Rfam family "Eukaryotic small subunit ribosomal RNA", at positions 372 to 831 of the family's 1831-position model. Lineage: Eukaryota; Metazoa; Arthropoda; Malacostraca; Decapoda; Solenoceridae. The record is from RNAcentral.